Long non-coding RNA from Hevea brasiliensis (rubber tree), 928 nucleotides. RefSeq lists it as uncharacterized. The transcript has 2 exons. The record is from RefSeq and is a predicted model, not a curated record. Lineage: Eukaryota; Viridiplantae; Streptophyta; Magnoliopsida; Malpighiales; Euphorbiaceae.
CGAGUCUCAGAAAGGAUGCCUUAGGUCACUUGGACCACAUAUAGAUUACAGUAACUUGAUAUUUUUUUGUCAUGACUUUAAGAGUAGGAGACUCAAACCCUAAUAUCAUCCACCCACUGUACCUUGGAAGAAAAAAAAUCCACCUUUGUAGGAAUUCUAGACUCUAUGGCCAUAGCCUACGAUGCCACUGUAAAAGAGAGAGAGAGAGAGAGAGAGAGAGAGCAGCCCUCAAUGAUGAAGGGAAAGUGGGAAAGCCCCAUAAAAGGACCUUGCCUGUACAAUUUAGAUAUGUGUGCAACUGAUCGUCGUUCAGGUACUGGAUUUAAUAUUUAUUCGGUUUCUUUGUUUCUUUUUUGGAGAUCAAGAUGCAACACUGACCGAGUUCUCAUAUUUGCCUUUUGGUAAGUGACCUUAAACAUUUCUUUUAUUUGUUUGUUUCCCCUCUUUUAUGCUUCUACGUUGUGCCCUUUAUUUAUCCUGUGACUUUUUCCCCUUAUCUUUAACCAUAUUCACAUACGCCUUAUUCAUUUGUUGGUUUUUUGAGGGUUGGUAGAAACUUCUUCUUAGAAAGUGUGGAUCUCCAAAUACUGUUUCAAGUCAUGGAUGAUCUUGAUCUUAAUUUGAUUUCAUACUUGUUGUGUAUUAUGUGGGUUGUUCACUUCACUGAUCUAGGCUUCAUUACCUCUGGUGGGUUUAUUUUAUUUUCGCAAUUGGGUUUGUCUUUGUUAACUUUCUAGUAACUUUUCCCUUUCCAGGGUACUAAAAAACCUUAUCAUUUAGGGUUAGGGUUUAUGCAAAUCACCUUCUCCAAUCUCUACUAAGGAGUUCAUUCCUUGAAUUUGUCCAUUUUCUAGCACUUUAGUGUGAUUUGAUUUCUAAACCUUCAUUUGAGAUGGGUUGAGAUUCUAAAUAGUGUUUUGGCUUUUCU